Molecule: ribosomal RNA, 3022 nt
Filed under: Klebsiella pneumoniae
Lineage: Bacteria; Pseudomonadati; Pseudomonadota; Gammaproteobacteria; Enterobacterales; Enterobacteriaceae
Description: bacterial LSU rRNA
Rfam family: Bacterial large subunit ribosomal RNA
Source: RNAcentral
GGGUUGUGAGGUUAAGCGACUAAGCGUACACGGUGGAUGCCCUGGCAGUCAGAGGCGAUGAAGGACGUGCUAAUCUGCGAAAAGCGUCGGUAAGGUGAUAUGAACCGUUAUAACCGGCGAUGUCCGAAUGGGGAAACCCAGUGUGAUUCGUCACACUAUCGUUAACUGAAUACAUAGGUUAACGAGGCGAACCGGGGGAACUGAAACAUCUAAGUACCCCGAGGAAAAGAAAUCAACCGAGAUUCCCCCAGUAGCGGCGAGCGAACGGGGAGCAGCCCAGAGUCUGAAUCAGCUUGUGUGUUAGUGGAACGGUCUGGAAAGUCCGACGGUACAGGGUGAUAGUCCCGUACACCAAAAUGCACAGGUUGUGAACUCGAAGAGUAGGGCGGGACACGUGGUAUCCUGUCUGAAUAUGGGGGGACCAUCCUCCAAGGCUAAAUACUCCUGACUGACCGAUAGUGAACCAGUACCGUGAGGGAAAGGCGAAAAGAACCCCGGCGAGGGGAGUGAAAAAGAACCUGAAACCGUGUACGUACAAGCAGUGGGAGCACCUUCGGGUGUGACUGCGUACCUUUUGUAUAAUGGGUCAGCGACUUAUAUUCUGUAGCAAGGUUAACCGUAUAGGGGAGCCGCAGGGAAACCGAGUCUUAACUGGGCGUUAAGUUGCAGGGUAUAGACCCGAAACCCGGUGAUCUAGCCAUGGGCAGGUUGAAGGUUGGGUAACACUAACUGGAGGACCGAACCGACUAAUGUUGAAAAAUUAGCGGAUGACUUGUGGCUGGGGGUGAAAGGCCAAUCAAACCGGGAGAUAGCUGGUUCUCCCCGAAAGCUAUUUAGGUAGCGCCUCGUGAACUCAUCUUCGGGGGUAGAGCACUGUUUCGGCUAGGGGGUCAUCCCGACUUACCAACCCGAUGCAAACUGCGAAUACCGAAGAAUGUAAUCACGGGAGACACACGGCGGGUGCUAACGUCCGUCGUGAAGAGGGAAACAACCCAGACCGCCAGCUAAGGUCCCAAAGUCAUGGUUAAGUGGGAAACGAUGUGGGAAGGCCCAGACAGCCAGGAUGUUGGCUUAGAAGCAGCCAUCAUUUAAAGAAAGCGUAAUAGCUCACUGGUCGAGUCGGCCUGCGCGGAAGAUGUAACGGGGCUAAACCAUGCACCGAAGCUGCGGCAGCGAACGUAUCACUUAAAACGCUUAACAUGCAGGCUGCGCCUGCAUGUUCAAGCCACAUAAACGUCGAGUGGGCCUGCGGGCUGACAGACGACAGGCGUUUUAAGGAUACGUUCGUUGGGUAGGGGAGCGUUCUGUAAGCCUGCGAAGGUGACCUGUGAGGGUUGCUGGAGGUAUCAGAAGUGCGAAUGCUGACAUAAGUAACGAUAAAGCGGGUGAAAAGCCCGCUCGCCGGAAGACCAAGGGUUCCUGUCCAACGUUAAUCGGGGCAGGGUGAGUCGACCCCUAAGGCGAGGCCGAAAGGCGUAGUCGAUGGGAAACAGGUUAAUAUUCCUGUACUUGGUGUUACUGCGAAGGGGGGACGGAGAAGGCUAUGUUAGCCGGGCGACGGUUGUCCCGGUUUAAGCAUGUAGGCUGGUUAUCCAGGCAAAUCCGGAUAAUCAAGGCUGAGGUGUGAUGACGAGGCACUACGGUGCUGAAGUAACAAAUGCCCUGCUUCCAGGAAAAGCCUCUAAGCAUCAGGUAACAUCAAAUCGUACCCCAAACCGACACAGGUGGUCAGGUAGAGAAUACCAAGGCGCUUGAGAGAACUCGGGUGAAGGAACUAGGCAAAAUGGUGCCGUAACUUCGGGAGAAGGCACGCUGGUGUGUAGGUGAAGUCCCUGCGGAUGGAGCUGAGACCAGUCGAAGAUACCAGCUGGCUGCAACUGUUUAUUAAAAACACAGCACUGUGCAAACACGAAAGUGGACGUAUACGGUGUGACGCCUGCCCGGUGCCGGAAGGUUAAUUGAUGGGGUUAUCCGUAAGGAGAAGCUCUUGAUCGAAGCCCCGGUAAACGGCGGCCGUAACUAUAACGGUCCUAAGGUAGCGAAAUUCCUUGUCGGGUAAGUUCCGACCUGCACGAAUGGCGUAAUGAUGGCCAGGCUGUCUCCACCCGAGACUCAGUGAAAUUGAACUCGCUGUGAAGAUGCAGUGUACCCGCGGCAAGACGGAAAGACCCCGUGAACCUUUACUAUAGCUUGACACUGAACAUUGAGCCUUGAUGUGUAGGAUAGGUGGGAGGCUUUGAAGCGUGGACGCCAGUCUGCGUGGAGCCAACCUUGAAAUACCACCCUUUAAUGUUUGAUGUUCUAACGUUGGCCCCUGACCGGGGUUGCGGACAGUGUCUGGUGGGUAGUUUGACUGGGGCGGUCUCCUCCCAAAGCGUAACGGAGGAGCACGAAGGUUAGCUAAUCCUGGUCGGACAUCAGGAGGUUAGUGCAAUGGCAUAAGCUAGCUUGACUGCGAGCGUGACGGCGCGAGCAGGUGCGAAAGCAGGUCAUAGUGAUCCGGUGGUUCUGAAUGGAAGGGCCAUCGCUCAACGGAUAAAAGGUACUCCGGGGAUAACAGGCUGAUACCGCCCAAGAGUUCAUAUCGACGGCGGUGUUUGGCACCUCGAUGUCGGCUCAUCACAUCCUGGGGCUGAAGUAGGUCCCAAGGGUAUGGCUGUUCGCCAUUUAAAGUGGUACGCGAGCUGGGUUUAGAACGUCGUGAGACAGUUCGGUCCCUAUCUGCCGUGGGCGCUGGAGAAUUGAGGGGGGCUGCUCCUAGUACGAGAGGACCGGAGUGGACGCAUCACUGGUGUUCGGGUUGUCAUGCCAAUGGCACUGCCCGGUAGCUAAAUGCGGAAGAGAUAAGUGCUGAAAGCAUCUAAGCACGAAACUUGCCCCGAGAUGAGUUCUCCCUGAGACUUUAAGUCUCCUGAAGGAACGUUGAAGACGACGACGUUGAUAGGCCGGGUGUGUAAGCGCAGCGAUGCGUUGAGCUAACCGGUACUAAUGAACCGUGAGGCUUAACCUUACAACGCCGAAG